RNAcentral lists this long non-coding RNA (218 nucleotides) under Lathyrus oleraceus (garden pea). RNAcentral's name for it is "Pisum sativum (pea) long non-coding RNA (PSAT_LNC012215)". Lineage: Eukaryota; Viridiplantae; Streptophyta; Magnoliopsida; Fabales; Fabaceae. The record is from RNAcentral.
UUUUUCAAAUGCAAAUAAAAAUACAUAUCGCCUAAUAAAGUAUGCACAAGAUUCCUAAUCAAGAAAAUUCUAAUGGCGUUAACAUCGACAAAACCAUCGAUAUUAGGGAACAAAGCCAAACCAUAGAUGAGCAACACAAAGAUGGAUUCAAAAGCAUCCACGCUACCGGCUUGAGCAAAGGCAGUAGCUUCCUUUAUGAGGAACUCAGAAGUCAAUCC